This 437-nucleotide ribosomal RNA is filed under the name uncultured bacterium. RNAcentral describes it as "partial 16S ribosomal RNA". It matches the Rfam family "Bacterial small subunit ribosomal RNA", at positions 29 to 507 of the family's 1533-position model. The record is from RNAcentral.
AGCGAACGCUGGCGGCAGGCUUAACACAUGCAAGUCGAGCGGGCAUCCAUGAGGAGUCUGCGGCAGACGGGGGAGUAACGCGUGGGAACGUGCCCUUCGGUUCGGAAUAACUCAGGGAGACGUGAGCUAAUACCGGAUACGUGCGAGAGCAGAAAGGUUUAUCUGCCUAAGGAUCGGCCGGCGUCUGAUUAGCUAGUUGGUGAGGUUAUGGCUCACCAAGGCGACGAUCAGUAGCUGGUCUGAGAGGAUGAUCAGCCACACUGGGACUGAGACACGGCCCAGACUCCUGCGGGAGGCAGCAGUGGGGAAUAUUGGACUAUGGGGGCAACCCUGAUCCAGCCAUGCCGCGUGAGUGAUGACGGCCUUAGGGUUGUAAAGCACUUUUCUCCGGGACGAUAAUGACGGUACCGGAGGAAUAAGCCCCGGCUAACUUCGUG